AAAAGAUGCAAGGAGAAAAAACAGAAUUGACAGACAAUUCUUACUUGAUGCUCAUGUCCCUAUGCUUGUGUAUGGUUUCAGAUGUAUCAACAAAUCAUUGUUGUAAGGAUUUGCAUCUGAGAUUUUUCAAGUGUGAUAAAUGUCACACUUCUAUACAAACCAUAUAUGUCUACAGAAUACAAAGGACUCUGGAUUGUUAUGGUUGAUGAUGCUUGAAGAGCUUGUAUUUCUUCAGACCAAUCUGGUUGGUUGGGGUGAAUGCUUGCUUCUUUUUGAGAAAUUUUCAAGUCCAGUGAAGCACUUUUACAUGUACCAUAUUGUCCAUAGAUCGCAGGUGUAAUGUGUGGAUAAGAACCCUUGAACAGCUUUUUCUUCAAACCAAGCAGGUAAUACUUCCUUACUUCUUCUUUUAUUCACUUUCCUAUGAACAGGAAGAUUUACAAACUGCACUAAGAAAUUUCAUCUUAAACAAGGUUUGGCAUCAGGAUAAUGCUUCAAAGGUUGUAAUUUGAACCUUAAAUCCGAUUCAUCAAUUGUGUGACAUCCCAAUGGAUGACAGUGCUUCAGAAUUGGCAAGUAACUAGUGAUCAAUGCCAGAGCAGAAUUAUUUUGGAAAUUUUUCUUAAUGUUGGCAGGAAAUAAGUUUGUCUACAAAGAAAAUUAUAUUACAAAUAAGGAUAUCUACAAAGCAAAUUAAUUAAUCCUAUAGAAUAUUUGAGGGAACCAACAUAAUGUUAAAAGAGUUUUUUGCAUUGGUUUGCCUUAAUUUCAGACAUUCAGUCCAGUGGUUCUUCUGUCCUGUUUCAAAGAGCCAGAGAAGAGUAAUUGAGGAUGGCCUCUUUGUCUUAUGUUACCAAUCCUUGUAAGUUGAUCAUCUAUGCAUGCCUUUGAAGUUUGAACAAGCAUGACCCUGCAUUUAUCCAAUUACUAGUUGGUAACUG
RNAcentral lists this unclassified non-coding RNA (941 nucleotides) under Hevea brasiliensis (rubber tree). Lineage: Eukaryota; Viridiplantae; Streptophyta; Magnoliopsida; Malpighiales; Euphorbiaceae. The record is from RNAcentral.